AUGUGGCGGCAGCACACAGCGAGCAGCUUCUCUCUCAGUAUUUGCAUUAAAUCCUGUCUUUUCUCUAAACCAGGAGCAGAAUCGCAUGGUGGAAACAAUGCCAAGGGCACGGGCCCUAAUUGCCCCCAUCUGCUACAUGGUGGAAAGAGGAGGAGGAAGGAAAGAGUGAUAAAAAGUAUGAAUAACACUGCACAGGAAUAGAAUAAGGAGAAAUGGGCCAGAGUGAACUGGAGGGCUACAUGGGCCAAGCGUGCAUUUUUUUGAAGAAGAGUUUUGGGAUUUCCAAUUAAUCCUUCUAAACAGCUGCCCAUUCAUCUACACCACUGAAGAAGAUACCAUAAACUGCCUGGGAGAUUUGGCUCUGGGUCAAACUGUCUGACUUUCAGAUUUUAUAUCCUUUCCAAAUUACUUUUGAUUUAAAAUUGCUUUUCUUGUUUCUUGAAUCCAUUACUGCUUGUCCCUUCCAUAGAAAUAAUGGUUACCAGAAGACUAAUUUCAUAUGUUUCCCAACCCCCAAAUAAAAUCCACUAAUCAAUCACUCAGUAGUUUUUGAGUCUCAGUGACAAAGUGCUUGGCUAGCAUGGGCAAGGCCCUGGGUUCAAUCCCUAGUACCACAAAACAAAAUAGUUUUUGAGUAUCCAUUUUCUCUGCUUUCUGCUAAUCUUUGUGGCUGAUGAAGAAUCAAUAAACGCCAUGCAAAAUAAAGCCAGAACAUAACAGUUACCAAUUAUCUCCUAAUCGGCAAUCAUAGUACAUGAUUUUCAAUUUUUC
Molecule: long non-coding RNA, 771 nt
Filed under: Chinchilla lanigera (long-tailed chinchilla)
Lineage: Eukaryota; Metazoa; Chordata; Mammalia; Rodentia; Chinchillidae
Description: lncRNA (ENSCLAG00000028081.1)
Source: RNAcentral